Molecule: ribosomal RNA, 301 nt
Filed under: uncultured bacterium
Lineage: Bacteria
Description: partial 16S ribosomal RNA
Rfam family: Bacterial small subunit ribosomal RNA
Source: RNAcentral
CAGCCGCCGCGGUAAUACAGAGGGUGCGAGCGUUAAUCGGAUUUACUGGGCGUAAAGCGUGCGUAGGCGGCUUUUUAAGUCGGAUGUGAAAUCCCUGAGCUUAACUUAGGAAUUGCAUUCGAUACUGGGAAGCUAGAGUAUGGGAGAGGAUGGUAGAAUUCCAGGUGUAGCGGUGAAAUGCGUAGAGAUCUGGAGGAAUACCGAUGGCGAAGGCAGCCAUCUGGCCUAAUACUGACGCUGAGGUGCGAAAGCGUGGGGAGCAAACAGGAUUAGAUACCCGAGUAGUCCCUGUCUCUUAUAC